This 545-nucleotide ribosomal RNA is filed under the name Cortinarius sp. F15834. RNAcentral describes it as "eukaryotic LSU rRNA". It matches the Rfam family "Eukaryotic large subunit ribosomal RNA", at positions 1 to 544 of the family's 3401-position model. The record is from RNAcentral. Lineage: Eukaryota; Fungi; Basidiomycota; Agaricomycetes; Agaricales; Cortinariaceae.
GUGACCUCAAAUCAGGUAGGACUACCCGCUGAACUUAAGCAUAUCAAUAAGCGGAGGAAAAGAAACUAACAAGGAUUCCCCUAGUAACUGCGAGUGAAGCGGGAAAAGCUCAAAUUUAAAAUCUGGCAGUCUUUGGCUGUCCGAGUUGUAAUCUAGAGAAGUGCUAUCCGCGCUGGACCGUGUACAAGUCUCCUGGAAUGGAGCGUCAUAGAGGGUGAGAAUCCCGUCUUUGACACGGACUACCAGGGCUUUUGUGAUGUGCUCUCAAAGAGUCGAGUUGUUUGGGAAUGCAGCUCAAAAUGGGUGGUAAAUUCCAUCUAAAGCUAAAUAUUGGCGAGAGACCGAUAGCGAACAAGUACCGUGAGGGAAAGAUGAAAAGAACUUUGGAAAGAGAGUUAAACAGUACGUGAAAUUGCUGAAAGGGAAACGCUUGAAGUCAGUCGCGUUGUCCAGGGAUCAACCUUGCUUUUGCUUGGUGCACUUCCUGGUUGACGGGUCAGCAUCAAUUUUGACUGUUGGAAAAAGAUCAAGGGAAUGUGGCAUCU